Columba livia (rock pigeon) is the source of this 4374-nucleotide long non-coding RNA. RefSeq lists it as uncharacterized. The transcript is spliced from 4 exons. The record is from RefSeq and is a predicted model, not a curated record. NCBI's taxonomy places the organism in Eukaryota, Metazoa, Chordata, Aves, Columbiformes, Columbidae.
ACUCUUUGGCUGCAAAUGAAGAAGCAAUUUGGGUUUCUCAUGUUUUCUUUUUUUUUUUUUUAAUGAACAGCUCCAGAUCUCCGCUUGUCUGAUUAAACAGUUGACAUGAGGAUUUGUCAGCAACUCACUUGCAUUAACAAAAGCUUGAGUGAUUUGGGGUUUCCUGGAGCAGCAGCUUUGGAUAAACCCAACACUGGGCAUCGCUCACAGGGCAGGAUGUCACAGGCUGUCACCUCGUCACCCUCCGGGUUGGUGCUGGGGUCCCUUCUGUCCACGUGGAAGGGAAGGGACACAACUCGGGUGGACAGCUCUGCAUUUGACAUUGAGGAAAAAACAGGCGCUGCUGGAUCUUCCACGUAAAAGCCUCUUUGUAAAGGAAGGGGAGGUGUGUGUGUCUGAUCAUCAGACACGAGGGCAGAGGAAAUUCUUCAGGAGUUCUGGCUGAAAAAGAAAGAUUAUUUCCUAAUCUUUUGGCUGCCAAAGCUCAGAAAACGUUGGUUCUCAGAUGGAAUUUCUCUGCUCACUGUCACUGAAGACACAGACCCUGUUUAUUUCAGUACGAACCUGGGAUUGUUUGAAGGCAAAUAUCCAAUGAAAAAACUUGGGUUUCAUCACUUGUCAGGAAAAGUGAAAAGAAAAAAACCUAAAACCAAAUACAGGGGAAGCCCUGCCUGGGUGGAAACACUGACCUGACCAAACUCCUGGUGACACGAGAGGGACCGAGCGUGGCCUGGUGGGCACAGAGAUGGUCCCCAGCAUCCCCGUGUCCCAGUCAGGCCUGGCCUGGGGAUGCUGGGCUGCGUGGCCAUGGUUUUUGGAGUGAUGGGGCAUGCCCUACAGCCUCUUUCCCACAGAUCUCCCCACCUGUGGUGCCUUCUAUAAUUCCCUUCUCCUUCCCAUCACUGAAGAAAUGGCAAAAUUCAUCCAACUUGAGUAAAACCUCCCCACAAUCCUGCCUUGGCUGAACCCUGCCUGCCUGUCCUGCCCAGGGCCCCCCCAUAGUGUCUGGGGGCUCCUUGCUUGUACAGAGCUCCCACUCUGUGCCUCCCCUUGGCUGGAGGCAGACACAGCCCAUCAGCUCACGUACAGGAAGGGUUUGCUGUGAAUUAGCCCUCCUGGGGCUUUCCUGGCAUCUCUCCAUCAGCUUGUAAGAUUUUUUUUGCUUCACAGUUUAAAACAACAGAGAUCCUGGCAGAGCUUUGGCUGUAUGGAUGGAAUUGGUGAUAAACCCAGCGAGUUCAUAAGUGUCGUGGCACAGCAAAGCUGGGCUGGAGCCGCUUUCCUGAGCUCUGAAUUGUGCCAUGACUGCAGACGACUGACAGGCCAGCGUUAAAGUCUCACUCAAGCCAAUGCAAGUCUUCCUCUCACUCCAGCAGCUUUGGUGAGGAUUGUCCUGAGGAAAUGGGAUUUUUGCCGCUUUUGUGGGUUAUCAAAGCCAAAAGCUAAUUUCCACGCACACUGGAAACAACAAAACGCGAAUGUUCCUGGAAAGCAAAUACAUCAGCACUUCAAAUACGGACACUUUAACAGUUGCAGUUGGAUUUAAGCAAAGGCACAUACUGAAGCCUCUCGGAGGGGGAUGUGAGGGGCGUCCUUGGGAUGGUGAACCAAACUAUGCAGACUCCAGGUGGCUCCUUCUCCAGGAGCGAUAACGUCUACAGAGAUGUGGGGUGAGCACAGCGGCUGGGACGGCUCAAGGUUAAACCUGCUGAGAGUCAUUCUGCAGAACCCUCAGCAGAAGGAGAAUUCAGGUCUGCAGGUCCCAGGAUGUGACCUCUCCUUGCAGCACAAUAUGGCUUUUGUCUCUGCUUUGUGCUUUCAAGGCGGCCAUGCUCAGUGAACGCCUCAUUUAUACCUGCAAUCCCUGCAGCCAAUUUACACCUCAGCUGUCCUGUGUAUGCAUGUUUUCACCAGCCUGACCUUUUCAAGCUGUUAGCACUGUCCAUGGGAUGACGUCUUGAACCCUUUACAGGAUUUGUUGGCAGCGGCAGCUAUAAUAUCUCCCUCUCCUGAGCUCCAGCGAACCCCAACAGAGUCAGUGACUCCAUUUAAGCAUAAAAGUGCUGGUGGAGAGGCUGAAGCUCCUCAGGUUUGCCGGCUUUCAGCUCUUCGCUCAGCCUGCAGAAUAAAAAGAAGCCAGGACAAUUUCAUUGCUUCUUUCACAUAAGUUUCCCACCACGGCUGUGCUGGAACUCCUGCUUCCACAGUGCGAGUAAAUGUGACCGAGGAUAAUACAGCAAAGUGGGCCGAGAUUUCUGCUGGUUGAAAACCAGAAACUGGUUUGGAAAGGGCGUCUUUGUGCAGAGCAUCCCUGCAAAUGCCGGAGGUUGCUGGACUCUGCAUCUGAAGUCCAAGCUCAGUCGCAUCCCUGCUGCAGACCUUAGAGCCCAACACGGUUGAUAUUCUCCCUGAGAAACUUUGCAAUGACCCUUUAAUUCCAUUUCAAGAUGACCCAAACCACCAAGCCCUGUACUGAACACUCCUCUAAGCUCAAUGAGAAGAGGUUGUCUCCGUCCUCCACCUGGGACAACGCGGGAGAGGACAUGUCUGAAGAUGUCCAGUAUUUGCCAGCAAAUAUGUGGUUCCAGGCCUCAUUGGAAUAAAUCAGAUGGAACACUCUUCACCUUCAUCUUAUUUCACGGAGGUGACUGAAAACCCAAAGUGCAGGAACGAAAAGAAAGUCAGGCUCACCUUUAUUAACCAACCCGUCUUCUUGCGGCUUUAGGAUCCACAAGUGUUCAAAGGCAGAGAGGACACAAGGAGGAGGAGGAAGAAGAGGAGGAGGAGGAGGAAGAAGCGGAGGAGGAGGAGGGCUGGGUGGCUGAUUUCUCCAUGAUGAAGACUCUGCACACUGUCAGACCCACUGCCGUGUGGGCUCCUCUGGAGCUCUGAGUCAUUGCAGCCAUCCCUGCACCACAUCCUCUGAGACAGACCCACACAGGAGCUAGAGAAGCUCAAGGCUUUCUCCAAAGAAAUUGCUUUCUCAUGACUAAACAUCAACAUACAGAAAAAUUAACCACAACCACAAACUUAUUUGAAAGUCCUCAGCAGCUACGAGCGCAGGGGAUAGAUAGUCUGGUGUCAAUGUUGUGGUGUAAAGCAGAUGCAGGGAGAGUGGUUGCUGGUGUUGGUGAGGGCUGCUUGAAUGUAUCUCCCUUCAAAGAGCUUCCAUGGCAAAGUAAUGGCCUGGGUGGCAAGGAGCUCCACUGGGGUGGCCUCCAAAAGGACAGCUUCUUGGCUUCAUUAUUAUAAAUAAUGAUUUUUUUAUUAGCAGAUUGUUGUGGCAUCCAGAAAAGCAGCACAUAAGCUGGUGGGGAAGCUUCAGAUCAGCUCUUGCUUUCUGCAGAUCCCUUUCCUGGGCUGGUUGGGGCACAGGCAGAGCAGGAUUUGCUUCCAGCCAGGCACCCUGUGAUGGGGUCACCAGCACCUUUCUACAACGAGUUACAGUAAAAAUCCACUCCAGCCUGUCAGUGGGGACACUUGGGUUUUGCUUUAUCAUUCCCCUUCUCCUUGGGUUUGAGAGCGGUUAGAAAAGUGCCAGCAACAUGCAAGAGAGAGAGUUAUUGUAGGCAUGGCUGGAUGCCAGCCACCCUUGUAAUUUUGUUAGUAGACUAAUAGAGGAGCAGAUGAAGCCAUCGUAGGUAAUUUUAAUGCUGCAUAGUCCCAUCAUUGUCAGAAAUGUUUCAGGGUACAUAAUUGAUAAAUUUUCUUCUUUGGAGUCUUAUUUGUUAUAUCAAGACUGGGCUGGUAGUAGUGUUUUCAACUGAGAAGGAACAAUUAGAAUAGAAAUGGUAGAAAAAAAGGAGAAAUUUUGACUGGGCAAAGUAGACCUUGUGCUCCAGAGCAGAAAGUAAAUGAGUGGGAAGAGCAGAAAGUGGAGAGUGUCGGCCAUGGGGUCAUGCUGGCUUGGAGUGAGAUGGGAAAGACAUGGAUCCAGAAGAAAUUCGAGGGAAAACGUAAGGAAGUAGAAGGGAUUAGUCCCUGCCGGGGCUGGCCAGGAUGAGCUAAAUAGCCAGACUUUUGCGCUUUCACCCAGAACCGGGGAAGAGAUGAUCUGGACACAUUGCAGGAGGAUUAUGUAUGAUUUGGGGGAGCAUGAUGCCCAUGGACAUGAUCUGGGGAUUGCAUCCCCCAGCACAGAGGGCCGCUCGACCUCCUGCUCUGUGCCAUGAAAUCGGGGAGCGAGUGAGAAGGAGCCCGAGCAACAUGAGCAAACACAAAUGUGUUUCCACUUAGCUGGUCCUCCGAGGCCAAAUGAUGUAACUCCCGCGAAGCUCUGCAAUAUGUUGGCAGGAGGAGCCUAGUGACAACUCCAACUGUAAGUUCCUGAGCUAAUGAGCAGAAAAGUUGAAUAAAAAAAUUUUAAAAAAUAAU